Molecule: ribosomal RNA, 552 nt
Filed under: uncultured bacterium
Lineage: Bacteria
Description: partial 16S ribosomal RNA
Rfam family: Bacterial small subunit ribosomal RNA
Source: RNAcentral
UGGGGAAUUUUGGACAAUGGGCGCAAGCCUGAUCCAGCCAUGCCGCGUGCGGGAAGAAGGCCUUCGGGUUGUAAACCGCUUUUGUCAGGGAAGAAAUCUUCUGAGUUAAUACCUCGGGAGGAUGACGGUACCUGAAGAAUAAGCACCGGCUAACUACGUGCCAGCAGCCGCGGUAAUACGUAGGGUGCAAGCGUUAAUCGGAAUUACUGGGCGUAAAGCGUGCGCAGGCGGUUUUGUAAGACAGAGGUGAAAUCCCCGGGCUCAACCUGGGAACUGCCUUUGUGACUGCAAGGCUUGAGUGCGGCAGAGGGGGAUGGAAUUCCGCGUGUAGCAGUGAAAUGCGUAGAUAUGCGGAGGAACACCGAUGGCGAAGGCAAUCCCCUGAGCCUGCACUGACGCUCAUGCACGAAAGCGUGGGGAGCAAACAGGAUUAGAUAGCCCUGGUAGUCCACGCCCUAAACGAUGUCAACUGGUUGUUGGGAAGGUCCCUUCUCAGUAACGUAGCUAACGCGUGAAGUUGACCGCCUGGGGAGUACGGCCGCAAGGUUGAAA